This 130-nucleotide ribosomal RNA is filed under the name Propithecus coquereli (Coquerel's sifaka). Lineage: Eukaryota; Metazoa; Chordata; Mammalia; Primates; Indriidae. The record is from RNAcentral.
AUCUUGGCCAUACCACCCUGAAUGUGUCUGAAUCUUGUCUGAUCUUGGAGGCUAAGCAGGGUCAGUCCUGGUUAGUAUUGGAUGGGAGAAAAAGCAUGCUCAUGAAAAAUAUCCAUGUACACCAAAGACA